GAUGAGCGCUGGCGGCGUGCUUAACACAUGCAAGUCGAACGGAAAGGCUCCUGCUUGCAGGGGUACUCGAGUGGCGAACGGGUGAGUAACACGUGGGUGAUCUGCCCUGCACUUCGGGAUAAGCCUGGGAAACUGGGUCUAAUACCGGAUAGGACCACAUUUUGGAUGGUGUGGUGGAAAGUUUUUCGGUGUGGGAUGAGCUCGCGGCCUAUCAGCUUGUUGGUGGGGUAAUGGCCUACCAAGGCGUCGACGGGUAGCCGGCCUGAGAGGGUGUACGGCCACAUUGGGACUGAGAUACGGCCCAGACUCCUACGGGAGGCAGCAGUGGGGAAUAUUGCACAAUGGGCGCAAGCCUGAUGCAGCGACGCCGCGUGGGGGAUGACGGCCUUCGGGUUGUAAACUCCUUUCGCUAGGGACGAAGCGUUUUUGUGACGGUACCUGGAGAAGAAGCACCGGCUAACUACGUG
Molecule: ribosomal RNA, 467 nt
Filed under: uncultured bacterium
Lineage: Bacteria
Description: partial 16S ribosomal RNA
Rfam family: Bacterial small subunit ribosomal RNA
Source: RNAcentral